RNAcentral lists this ribosomal RNA (1530 nucleotides) under metagenome. Its description in RNAcentral is "bacterial SSU rRNA". It matches the Rfam family "Bacterial small subunit ribosomal RNA". The record is from RNAcentral.
AGAGUUUGAUCCUGGCUCAGGACGAACGCUGGCGGCGUGCCUAAUACAUGCAAGUCGAGCGGACAGGUGGGAGCUUGCUCCCUGAUGUUAGCGGCGGACGGGUGAGUAACACGUGGGUAACCUGCCUGUAAGACUGGGAUAACUCCGGGAAACCGGGGCUAAUACCGGAUGGUUGUUUGAACCGCAUGGUUCAAACAUAAAAGGUGGCUUCGGCUACCACUUACAGAUGGACCCGCGGCGCAUUAGCUAGUUGGUGAGGUAACGGCUCACCAAGGCAACGAUGCGUAGCCGACCUGAGAGGGUGAUCGGCCACACUGGGACUGAGACACGGCCCAGACUCCUACGGGAGGCAGCAGUAGGGAAUCUUCCGCAAUGGACGAAAGUCUGACGGAGCAACGCCGCGUGAGUGAUGAAGGUUUUCGGAUCGUAAAGCUCUGUUGUUAGGGAAGAACAAGUACCGUUCGAACAGGGCGGUACCUUGACGGUACCUAACCAGAAAGCCACGGCUAACUACGUGCCAGCAGCCGCGGUAAUACGUAGGUGGCAAGCGUUUUCCGGAAUUAUUGGGCGUAAAGGGCUCGCAGGCGGUUUCUUAAGUCUGAUGUGAAAGCCCCCGGCUCAACCGGGGAGGGUCAUUGGAAACUGGGGAACUUGAGUGCAGAAGAGGAGAGUGGAAUUCCACGUGUAGCGGUGAAAUGCGUAGAGAUGUGGAGGAACACCAGUGGCGAAGGCGACUCUCUGGUCUGUAACUGACGCUGAGGAGCGAAAGCGUGGGGAGCGAACAGGAUUAGAUACCCUGGUAGUCCACGCCGUAAACGAUGAGUGCUAAGUGUUAGGGGGUUUCCGCCCCUUAGUGCUGCAGCUAACGCAUUAAGCACUCCGCCUGGGGAGUACGGUCGCAAGACUGAAACUCAAAGGAAUUGACGGGGGCCCGCACAAGCGGUGGAGCAUGUGGUUUAAUUCGAAGCAACGCGAAGAACCUUACCAGGUCUUGACAUCCUCUGACAAUCCUAGAGAUAGGACGUCCCCUUCGGGGGCAGAGUGACAGGUGGUGCAUGGUUGUCGUCAGCUCGUGUUGUGAGAUGUUGGGUUAAGUCCCGCAACGAGCGCAACCCUUGAUCUUAGCUGCCAGCAUUCAGUUGGGCACUCUAAGGUGACUGCCGGUGACAAACCGGAGGAAGGUGGGGAUGACGUCAAAUCAUCAUGCCCCUUAUGACCUGGGCUACACACGUGCUACAAUGGACAGAACAAAGGGCAGCGAAACCGCGAGGUUAAGCCAAUCCCACAAAUCUGUUCUCAGUUCGGAUCGCAGUCUGCAACUCGACUGCGUGAAGCUGGAAUCGCUAGUAAUCGCGGAACAGCAUGCCGCGGUGAAUACGUUCCCGGGCCUUGUACACACCGCCCGUCACACCACGAGAGUUUGUAACACCCGAAGUCGGUGAGGUAACCUUUUAGGAGCCAGCCGCCGAAGGUGGGACAGAUGAUUGGGGUGAAGUCGGAACAAGGUAGCCGUAUCGGAAGGUGCGGCUG